CAAGAACGUCUGUUGAUUGUGAUUGUGUUGAGGUUAAACACUUCUUGACCUCAUGACGUCGCAUCACUGCCGUUUGUUACGGAGAAAUAUCUUGCUUCCCGAGAAGAAUCGAAAAUCUAUGUAAUAUGAGGAACUACUCUCUCACUAUCUCUCCUUCUCUUGCACGCAUCACCAAGUACUUUUGCAGUUCCACAUGUAAUCUGGACGCAGCAGUCUCUAAAAGUGAACAUGUUGCGCCGGAGUUGAUACCUAGCACUGCUUCUUCAAAUGGCAGAGUGAUGCUUAUUGAUGGGACAUCCAUUAUGUAUAGGGCUUACUAUAAGCUUCUAGGUUGAAUCAUGGUCAUCUGACUCACGCUGAUGGAAACGCCGACUGCGUUUUAACUUUAUUUUCAGCUCUUUCUCUUAUCAUUGAUGUUCUGAAAUUCCUCCCAUCCCAUGUGGCGGUGGUGUUCGACCAUGAUGGAGUUGCUUAUGGAAGUACUUCUAAUUCAUCAAAUGGUUAUAAUUCUUCAAAAGGUAAGCUCCACGUCCAUAGUCAAAUUUAAGUUAAUGAUGUUGGUUGGAUCUGUUGACAGCAUAAAAUGGGGUAUUUUUGCAUGAGAGUUAUAAGGUAGUAUGCUGACUCGAUGAUGAUGAAUGUAAUAUUAUCUCCAAGAUGCCUUUGGUGGCGGUGUCAUUAGGCGCUAGUGAGGCUCCAUAAGGUGUCUGGAUACUCGGAUCAUAAAAAGAAUAUCAUCUCAAAUUAAUACACAUUACACAAGCCCUGGCAUGAACUUCCGCCAUACUUUCUACCCUGCAUAGGGGACUACGCAGAAGGAUUCCCAGCUCAUCCAGUCAUCAGAG
Brassica oleracea var. oleracea is the source of this 845-nucleotide long non-coding RNA. RefSeq lists it as uncharacterized. The transcript has 7 exons. NCBI's taxonomy places the organism in Eukaryota, Viridiplantae, Streptophyta, Magnoliopsida, Brassicales, Brassicaceae. The record is from RefSeq and is a predicted model, not a curated record.